ACGGUGCGUAAACACGUAUGCAACCUACCUUUAACCGGGGACACAACCCACCGAAAGGUGAGCUAAUAUCCCAUAACACUGCGAAGUGGCAUCACUUUGCAGUUAAAACUCCGGUGGUUAUUGAUGGGCAUGCGCGACAUUAGCUAGUUGGUGAGGUAACGGCCCACCAAGGCUACGAUGUCUAGGGGUUCUGAGAGGAUUAUCCCCCACACUGGUACUGAGACACGGACCAGACUCCUACGGGAGGCAGCAGUAAGGAAUAUUGGUCAAUGGGCGCAAGCCUGAACCAGCCAUGCCGCGUGAAGGAUGACGGCCCUAUGGGUUGUAAACUUCUUUUGUACGGGAAAAAACCACCGGUCGUGUAUCGGUGCUGAUGGUACCGUAAGAAUAAGCAUCGGCUAACUCCGUG
Molecule: ribosomal RNA, 409 nt
Filed under: uncultured bacterium
Lineage: Bacteria
Description: bacterial SSU rRNA
Rfam family: Bacterial small subunit ribosomal RNA
Source: RNAcentral